GUCCUACAUGCACACUCAUGGGGCAGCAUUCUGGGUGGUGAGUUCUUUUCCUAGCAUUGUGAGCACUUGUCACUCCGUAUGUUGGUUACGGUCUUGUGAAGGGUUCCUGGACUAGAUCCAUGAAAAUACCCUGGGUGGCACCCAACAGGGCUAUGUGGUACAUGAGGGCAGUGUCUGGGGCCACUUGUCUGCUCACACUGUAAUGCAUAUGUGUCUUACUCUUCAUCAGGCCAGGUCACACUGUGUUUGAAAGUCCACUAGAAGCAGCCUAACUGAUCAAUUAUGAAAUGGAAUGAUCAGGGGUUUUUUAAUAUUUAUUUUUUAGUUGUAGGUGGACACAAUAUCUUUAUUUUAUUUUUAUGUGGUGCCGAGGAUUGAAACCAGUGCCUCAUGCAUGCUAGGCAAGCACUCUACCACUUGAACCACAACCCCAGCCCCAACGGGAUGAUCAGGUUUUAAUUCAUAACUGCAACUUUUUUUAAAAGUUAGGAGUCAGUAAUUUGUUUCACUAGAAUGGAGAUAAGAUGUAAACAAUUUUAUC
RNAcentral lists this long non-coding RNA (541 nucleotides) under Marmota monax (woodchuck). The record is from RNAcentral. Lineage: Eukaryota; Metazoa; Chordata; Mammalia; Rodentia; Sciuridae.